GACCGUGUUGCUGCAGGAGC
This 20-nucleotide microRNA is filed under the name Schistosoma japonicum. RNAcentral describes it as "miRNA-1732". The record is from RNAcentral. Lineage: Eukaryota; Metazoa; Platyhelminthes; Trematoda; Strigeidida; Schistosomatidae.